This 431-nucleotide ribosomal RNA is filed under the name uncultured bacterium. RNAcentral describes it as "partial 16S ribosomal RNA". It matches the Rfam family "Bacterial small subunit ribosomal RNA", at positions 338 to 795 of the family's 1533-position model. The record is from RNAcentral.
CCUACGGGGGGCAGCAGUGGGGAAUCUUUGACAAUGGGGGCAACCCUGAUCCAGCCAUGCCGCGUGAUCGAUGAAGGCCUUAGGGUUGUAAAGAUCUUUCAGCUGGGAAGCGGUACCAGCAGAAGAAGCCCCGGCUAACUCCGUGCCAGCAGCCGCGGUAAUACGGAGGGGGCUAGCGUUGUUCGGAAUUACUGGGCGUAAAGCGCACGUAGGCGGACUGAUCAGUCAGGGGUGAAAUCCCGGGGCUCAACCCCGGAACUGCCUUUGAUACUGUCAGUCUGGAGGUCGAGAGAGGUGAGUGGAAUUCCGAGUGUAGAGGUGAAAUUCGUAGAUAUUCGGAGGAACACCAGUGGCGAAGGCGGCUCACUGGCUCGUCUGACGCUGAGGUGCGAAAGCGUGGGGAGCAAACAGGAUUAGAUACCCUUGUAGUC